AGAGACAUUGAAGUGGAACCUGCAGCAUCCUCUGAGGAAGGCUAAUGUUAGGCAUCCCAACUCAAAGAAUUUAUGACAGAAGUUUUGAAAACAUGGAAGAAAAUCAGGUAUCCGUCUUUUUGGCUAAAUCACUGGAAUUCCUUUGAGUCUUCUUGACUAUCCCAUCUAAAUAAGAGGAGCAUCUCUAAUCAUUUUAGCUUUUCAGUAGUGAGAUGCAGUUCCUCUGCCUGCCUUCCACUUCAAGGGGAGUUUUCAGGUCACUUUUGGAGAAAUUGAACACCUCUGAAAAAAUGUUUUGCAAACAGCAUUUCAGUAAUUAG
This 320-nucleotide long non-coding RNA is filed under the name Aquila chrysaetos chrysaetos. Its description in RNAcentral is "lncRNA (ENSACCG00020005316.1)". Lineage: Eukaryota; Metazoa; Chordata; Aves; Accipitriformes; Accipitridae. The record is from RNAcentral.